UACCAGCACCCCGAGUAGUCGGGACGUUUAUUGGGCCUAAAGCAUCCGUAGCCGGUUAUACAAGUCUUCCGUUAAAUCCACCUGCUUAACAGAUGGGCUGCGGAAGAUACUAUGGAGCUAGGAGGCGGGAGAGGCAAGCGGUACUCGAUGGGUAGGGGUAAAAUCCGUUGAUCCAUUGAAGACCACCAGUGGCGAAGGCGGCUUGCCAGAACGCGCUCGACGGUGAGGGAUGAAAGCUGGGGGAGCAAACCGG
Molecule: ribosomal RNA, 253 nt
Filed under: uncultured bacterium
Lineage: Bacteria
Description: partial 16S ribosomal RNA
Rfam family: Archaeal small subunit ribosomal RNA
Source: RNAcentral